Molecule: RNA transcript, 4445 nt
Organism: Salvelinus sp. IW2-2015
Lineage: Eukaryota; Metazoa; Chordata; Actinopteri; Salmoniformes; Salmonidae
Source: RefSeq, a predicted model, not a curated record
AUUUGCAGAAUGUCGGCCAAAAUCCAUCUCGUUCCAUCUUCUCCCACUGUCCGCCAGUGGUCUUCCUCUCAGUACCAUAUUUGGUAGCGAGUGGAAACGUCAAGCGGAUGCUUCACAUUUAAACAUCCAGUGAAAUAUCUGUCUCAUUGUUCUAUCUGUGAUGUCACCUUCAUAGUUUUUUUAUCUGCUUUGUACGUGCGUUUUUUUUAAAAGAUUUGCUGUCGAAAAUAAACCAACAUUUUCUAAAACAUUGUACACAGUUUGACUGUGUGUAGCCUACCAGAAUGUGGUUCUSUUGAGGAGAAUGUCAAACAGAGCAGCAGCGCCCUCUUCAGGGCAGUUUGGGCAGCGUCUGCGUUGCGUCUCUGCACUCGUGCAGGGCCUGCGCACGCUAGUACACGUCACCACAUUUGCCAGCAGAGAAUCCCUGCCCAGAGCUGCGAAGCAGCGUUGCGCAGACAUGCUUGGUAAAGUACGCAGCCAUUUCUCUUCAGCUUGUUGUAAAGUCACAGGUCCGAGAAUGCAAAUACUGAAAUAGUGGCUGAUGUUGGGGUUUGUAGGCGAAUUUAUUUAUCUAAAUGAAAGACUAAAACUUUUUCCUUCUCAUAAGCAUUGAGAGAAACAGCCACAUAGGCAGCCUAUUUAGACGUGAUCGAGCAAUUCCAUAACCAAGACAGUGCGCUUGGUAGACGCGGUAAUGUCGUUGAAUAUCACUGUGAAAAGUGAAGACUCCGAGUCCUUUGACGAAGACGAAUCAUCUUCGCUGCUUUCGGGCAAAAGAGCCUCGGAGUCUGCAGCUCGUCAUGAUAUUUCUCCGGGAGAAGGCGGUCCAAUAGAAGACCAUGCAGGAUAUUCAACACAGCAUGGGCGGCUAGCAACUAAAACGACCAGCAAACCCAUCGUACUGUAUCCUGUGAGUGCUGRCCGUUUCUUUUCCUCUACUUCUGCAGAUGGCAAAACCAUCUUAAAGAUAGCCCCAGCCGCAGUCAUGACCCUCCCGACUCCUCGGCCUCCUCCCCAGGUUUCCCCAGAGUUCUCCUACCAGGCCAUCGUGUACUUGAUCGAAGCAGUGGGGCGCCGCUGGAGCCUGUAUGGGACGCGGGAGCGUUCUCAGCUCUUCCAGAGCGUGCAGAAGGAGUUGGAGGAGCAGGGUCAUUGUCUUCCCGUUGAGAAGAUCCGCCGCAAGUGGAACAACUUGAUCGUCACCUACAAGAGGGUCAAAUACAGAGGCAGGGAGACCGGCCAGGCCAGAACCUCCUGGGAGUACUUUGAGAUGAUGGAUGCCAUGCUUGGUGACACCAUCGGCGCCGAGACCACUAGCAGCCCUACCCUAGUAACCAGCAUCCCUAAGGUGAACGUCGCCACGGAAACCGCCAAAACAGACCAGAAGCCCCUCCUUCCCCAUGGCAACCUCAUCACUGCAUGCACUCGGACACUCACCCUUGUCCCCUCCUCCCUCCCACUCCACACACCAGUUUCCUCCACCCUCCCUCUCUACACCUUUGUCAGAUCCCUCCCUCCCCCUACCCCCGUCCGCUCCUCCCUCCCUCUUCCCACCCCCUUGGACACGCCCUCCCCCAAGAUAGCCAAUAACACAGAAUCUCUACAGCCGAACCCCUCCCCUGCUCCGGUCGCACAGCCCCCUGCCUCCCGUCACAUCCCCUCCAACCUCAGCCACGUACACCUCCGCAGAAAGAAGCGCCGUUGCUUCUCCUCCAAGGGCUCCUCCAUUGCCUCCCUUCUGGCCCAGCAGCAGAAGCGAGCAGAAGAAGGCACCUCCUUGCUGCAGGAGUUCCUAAGGAGGCAGGAGGGGCAGGCCAAGGAGGAGCAGGGGCAUCGCAGCAGGACAGAGGCCCGGGGGAGGAGGCGCGAGAGGAGGGAGGCGCGCAUGGCAGAGUCCCUGGGUAGGAUGGCCACGGCUCUGGAGCUGCUCUCCUCCAAACAGGACACAGUCAUUGCCCUGCUGCAGAGACUGGCUGAGAGAGACAGGAAGUGACCGUCAUCACCCCGGGUUGUCACUAGCUUCUAUAGCCACAGCCAUAAUUAUGGCUAAACCCCGCCUAUUUUUACUAUUCAUCUUUUAMAUUUUUUWUUUUUAAACCUAACAUUAACCACACUGCUAACCUUAUGCCUAAUCUUAAAAUAAGUACAAAAAGCUCAUGUUUGUUUUCAUGAAUUUUGAGUUUAUGGCUAUAUAAUCUAGUGGAAACGCUGCUGCAGAGACUAGCUGAAGUGACACUGUAAUCGCCCUACUGCAGAGCCUGGCCGAGAGAGACGGGGAGGCUGACUCAGCAUGCGACCGAAGGGGUACUCUUUUUCCCUAUAUUGUGCACUAUCUGAGCUAAAACCCAGUAAAAACCCACCUUGUGUCCCAGGUCUAAAUUGGUCCCUGAUUAGAGGGGAAGAAUUAAAAUUAGCAGUGGAACUGGGUUCGAGGUUCAUAUUCGAAUUUGCCUAAUGUAAGGAAUAGGGUGCCAUUUUGGGCGWAGACUCAGAUAAUGUUAAUUGAUUGUGUUUUAGAAUUUACAAUGGAAUAACAAUUUUGAUUGAUUUAAAUGGUUUAUUAAUUAAUGAUUGAUCAUGAUAAUCAAAGUGAUAUACAAUAGCAGCAUUUGGUUGCAGCAUUUAUGGUUGGAGAAACCGGUAUGGUGAGUGGAAACCACAAUUUAGGCCUACACAGAUGGAUAAGGAUUGUGAAAUAGUAGGCGAGACUUGUUCUCACUAGUCUGGCAUCUGGUCCAACCAGUAACUCCCGAAACACACACGGCCUUCUCAACUGUUUGAUUGUCAGGCAGCAUGCAUGAGGCCGAUUCAGACCGAGGCAGAUGCAGACACUCUGAGACAGGCUUAGAGAACAGCACCUGUCGCUACAAUGGAACCAGUACCUCGGUGAUGGAGAGGGAUCUCCUUAGAAGAGGCACCUUCAGUGGUCAACAUGAGACAGACUGAAGGAACUGAUCCACUCUGAGGGGGUGGGGAUAUCAGAUAACCAAAUUCUGGUUUCACCUUUCACCUCAACUCAUCCAAUGGAGACAGAAACAAUGGGAGGGUGAUUGACUGUACAGUUUAGGUGAUUCAAUAAAAUAAAAUAAAAAAAAUCAUCAAAAACAAAACGAUGGGAGAGGGAACAGAGAGAGACAGAUCGUUCUCCACCCAGGGGAGAAGAAAAGACGAGAAGGACUUAGGAGGGGUUAGAUGCUGGAGCAUCAUGGGACGUCAGUGGGCAUUUGUAAGGACCGUAGUGGUGAGUCUGGGAGCACUCUUUCUCUCUCUUGGAGCAUGGUCAGUACUGGGACUGGAAGACAUAGAGGAGGAGAGUCCAGGGGAAGCAGGGUCACUGCCACCAGCAAGACUGCUGGACUACCACCUCUAUAUGGAGCUGGUGUUGAGAGCCACAGCCAGAGGGGGUGCCAUCGGGCUUCUGAGAGGACUAGCAGCCAUCUCAGUGGUUUGGAUAGCAGAGGUCCUGUCUGGGUCUAAUGGCCUGGUUGCAUCGGUGCUCCGCGCCCCCUUCUUGGGGCUUCUGAUCGGGCUGGGGCUGGGUGCUGCAGAUGGGAUGGGCCGGGCGGAGGAGUUCCUAGACCCUGGGGUGUGGUGGGAGGUUGUGGGUAACGGGGUGAGCGGGGCUGGGGUGGGGGCCAGGGUGGCUGCAGUGAGUGGGGUGGUCAUCGCUGGUUUGAUGAGCAUCAUGACGGUCAGGGCAGUGAAGAAUGUGGCAAAGAGCGGCGAGAUCAGGAUGGCACGGUUCAUUACCGUGUCAGUGGCUGUGGGGGCUGCUAGGAUGGUGCUGUGUUUGGUUCCCGGGUGCAUGGCCACAGGAGCCUUGGUAGUAUCCAUCCUUGGGACCGGGAGGGACCUCCACAACUUGGUGGCCCUAGUCGUGCUGGGGUUGGGGUGGUGUGCAGGGCAAAGGUGGCUUGGUGGUGGUGUGUCAGUUUUCUUGAUGUGGGAUAAAUUGGGGCAACUCUCACCCAGACAUCUAAUAGGAAGGUUAGUGGGCUUGACUGUAGCUGUGGUUGGAUCUAUGUGCCUGGGGUUCUCUCUGCAGAUGUACUCAGCCCUGGUCAGUGUGUUACUGGGUGCUUCUAUAGCCUUUCUGUCCUGGAGGGGUGGGGAGGCUGUUUGUCAAGUUUUUGCUGAGGUGGUAGAGAGAUUAUUUUUAGCUAUAAGCAUCAAUACAUAUCAUGGACAAGAAGAGAGACUUUUGAAUACCUUUGGAUGGGGAAAGAGGCCUCUCAAUGCUUGAUAUAUUUGUCUUCUAAUUUUGUUGUGAUUAAUUACUGUGAUUAGUAGUCUCAAAUGCAUUUAUUUCCCAAUAUGAUUUACUGUUACAAAUGUUAAAAGUUUAGAAUUUGUUGAAUAGUGCUGCAGAAAGUACAUUUUGUAGUGAACUUUAAUAUUUGCAACCACAAAACACAAUAAAACUACAUACCCUUUUCCAGAAA